UGAUAUUUGUUUACAAUAUCGGCUUAUCCACAUAAUGUUGAUGUUGGAAUUUAGACAGCAAAUGAGGAAAUUUGGUUCAAUAUAUUCAGGCAGAUUUAUUAAGAUUUGGAUUGAGAAAUAUUGUCUAGUCUGAAAUGUAUGGAGACGAUAACACAAACAAAUGGAAGAUGGGAAACUGUGGAAUUAAAGAUAAGUUUUUUAGCAAGUCAAGAGUGUAGUCCGAAAAAAUGUUGAAAGAGUUUUCUUGAGAUUACCACAAGACAUAACAGAUGAAGACGUGGUGAAGAUGGGAAUCCUGUAUUUAAUUACAUCUUUUUGUACAUAACUAUCCAGUCGAGUUUGGUAAGUAAAGAAAUUCGGGCAAGUCCCUGUUGAAGAUGAAGAAGCUUAUGGAUUAUCUUUAUUCUUCAGUAGAUGAUAAUUUUUCCAUUGUUGUUUGAAAUAGCAAUUGAAAGGGAGAUGAACAUUGGGUUAGCA
RNAcentral lists this long non-coding RNA (477 nucleotides) under Olea europaea (common olive). RNAcentral describes it as "long non-coding RNA (OEUR_LNC003421)". Lineage: Eukaryota; Viridiplantae; Streptophyta; Magnoliopsida; Lamiales; Oleaceae. The record is from RNAcentral.